RNAcentral lists this ribosomal RNA (400 nucleotides) under phytoplankton environmental sample. Its description in RNAcentral is "partial small subunit ribosomal RNA". It matches the Rfam family "Eukaryotic small subunit ribosomal RNA", at positions 587 to 993 of the family's 1831-position model. The record is from RNAcentral.
AGCUCCAAUAGCGUAUAUUAAAGUUGUUGCAGUUAAAAAGCUCGUAGUUGGAUUUCGGAUUGGACCAGAUAGUCGGCCGCAAGGUCAGUUACUGACCGGUUCGGUCUUCUUCACAAAGAAUGCGUGUGCUCUUCGUUGAGUGUGCGUAGGAUUUACGACGUUUACUUUGAAAAAAUUAGAGUGUUCAAAGCAGGCUAUCGCUUGAAUACACGAGCAUGGAAUAAUGGAAUAGGUAUUUGGUUCUAUUUUGUUGGUUUCUAGGACCGAAGUAAUGAUUAAGAGGGACAAUUGGGGGCAUCCGUAUUUUGUUGUCAGCGGUGAAAUUCUUGGAUUUACGAAAGACGAACAACUACGAAAGCACUUGCCAAGAGUGUUUUCAUUAAUCAAGAACGAAAGUAGG